GAAGUUGAUCUAAACUGGCGGGAGUUCAGGACAUCCCAUCAGAAGGUGAUCUAACUGGCGGGAGGUCAGGACAUCCCAUCAGAAGUUGAUCUAACUGGUGGGAGGUCAGGACAUCCCAUCAGAAGGUGAUCUAACUGGUGGGAGGUCAGGACAUCCCAUCAGAAGGUGAUCUAACUGGUGGGAGGUCAGGACAUCCCAUCAGAAGUUAAUCUAACUGGUGGGAGGUCAGGACAUCCCAUCAGAAGGUGAU
Molecule: non-coding RNA, 250 nt
Organism: Salvelinus sp. IW2-2015
Lineage: Eukaryota; Metazoa; Chordata; Actinopteri; Salmoniformes; Salmonidae
Source: RefSeq, a predicted model, not a curated record